RNAcentral lists this ribosomal RNA (484 nucleotides) under uncultured bacterium. RNAcentral describes it as "partial 16S ribosomal RNA". It matches the Rfam family "Bacterial small subunit ribosomal RNA", at positions 30 to 507 of the family's 1533-position model. The record is from RNAcentral.
AUUGAACGCUGGCGGCAGGCCUAACACAUGCAAGUCGAGCGGAUGAAGGGAGCUUGCUCCUGGAUUCAGCGGCGGACGGGUGAGUAAUGCCUAGGAAUCUGCCUGGUAGUGGGGGAUAACGUCCGGAAACGGGCGCUAAUACCGCAUACGUCCUGAGGGAGAAAGUGGGGGAUCUUCGGACCUCACGCUAUCAGAUGAGCCUAGGUCGGAUUAGCUAGUUGGUGGGGUAAAGGCCUACCAAGGCGACGAUCCGUAACUGGUCUGAGAGGAUGAUCAGUCACACUGGAACUGAGACACGGUCCAGACUCCUACGGGAGGCAGCAGUGGGGAAUAUUGGACAAAGGGCGAAAGCCUGAUCCAGCCAUGCCGCGUGUGUGAAGAAGGUCUUCGGAUUGUAAAGCACUUUAAGUUGAGAGGAAGGGCAGUAAGUUAAUACCUUGCUGUUUUGACGUUACCAACAGAAUAAGCACCGGCUAACUUCGUG